RNAcentral lists this ribosomal RNA (253 nucleotides) under uncultured bacterium. Its description in RNAcentral is "partial 16S ribosomal RNA". It matches the Rfam family "Bacterial small subunit ribosomal RNA", at positions 524 to 776 of the family's 1533-position model. The record is from RNAcentral.
UACGUAGGGGGCGAGCGUUGUCCGGAUUUAUUGGGCGUAAAGGGCUCGUAGGCGGCCAACUAAGUCAGACGUGAAAUCCCUCGGCUUAACCGGGGAACUGCGUCUGAUACUGGAUGGCUUGAGAUUGGGAGAGGGAUGCGGAAUUCCAGGUGUAGCGGUGAAAUGCGUAGAUAUCUGGAGGAACACCGGUGGCGAAGGCGACAUCCUGGACCAACACUGACGCUGAGGAGCGAAAGCGUGGGGAGCAAACAGG